This 246-nucleotide long non-coding RNA is filed under the name Elaeis guineensis (African oil palm). RNAcentral's name for it is "long non-coding RNA (EGUI_LNC036082)". The record is from RNAcentral. Lineage: Eukaryota; Viridiplantae; Streptophyta; Magnoliopsida; Arecales; Arecaceae.
UGGGUUGGAGACCUGCCCUUGAGCCAAUGGCCGACCUUUAUCAGUUUUGAGGUGACUAACUCCAUGAGGAUUGUUGAUCUUCUCCUUAUAGAUGGUAGGAGGGUGAAUCGGGCAGUAGUGUCUCAUCUAAGGGAGCAGCUGGGGGAAUGGGUGACAUCCCUUGUGAUUCCUCUUCAUAGCGAACAAGAUGUCAGGGUUUGAAGAUAUUUCUACACUCCGAGGGUUAUGAUGGCUGAUCUCUACCUG